RNAcentral lists this long non-coding RNA (309 nucleotides) under Canis lupus dingo (dingo). Its description in RNAcentral is "lncRNA (ENSCAFG00020023901.1)". The record is from RNAcentral. Lineage: Eukaryota; Metazoa; Chordata; Mammalia; Carnivora; Canidae.
AUGGAUGUGAAGAUUGAUCAUUUCACGUUCGUCUGUGUGCGAGAAGUGCUCCUUCUGCUCCUGAAGUAUCUGGUUGGGAUUCCAUUUCUUUGUUGGAGAACCAAACCCAUCCACAAGGGUCAGGGCAGAGCCAAGAGGAGGAGGAAAGGCGGGCCACUGAAAGGUAAGGUUCUGCCUAUCCCACCUGAGCUCUCCAAGGGUGACCCUUGCUGUCCUUUUGGUAAGGGCCAGGUCCAUGAUCUGAGGAUGUUGGCUGAUAGUCCCCUCAGAAACAGAGGGCUGAGAGCACUCAGAGCCCGAGACCCUUAG